GUGCGGUGUUGAGCACGCGGGAAGCACUUAACGAAAGGGAGCUGCCCCUCAGCCCUCGUGAGUCCGAUGUAAAGGAGUGAAGGAGACGAAGAACUGAAUCAGUAGUUGACCGCCUGUGAGCUGGCGAGCUGUGCCCUGGUAGGGCCUUAAAUCCCAGCCCCAGAAGUCGGAGGCAGGGCAGGCACCCCAAAGCGUGGAAGAGAUGCACCUGCGGAGUGAAAAUGCUGCUAUUGCUUCUAGGGUCAGCCUUGGUUCCUGGAACAAAGGAGCCGCAUGACUCGGGUCUGGCGAUGAUGUUGGGCUCUGCAGUGUCCUCAUCCUUCCCCCUCUCUGGGUAAUGAUAUCUUCCCAGGGUUUAAAGUGUGUCCUCUCUGCCAGUAGCUUGUCUCCACAGCCUCAUCUUUAAUUCCACCUGCCCCACCCAUUUUGGACACUGCAGCCAAGUUGCAGCAGAUCCGCAAACCUGACGGAGUCGAAUCUCACUGUCUCCCAGGCUGGAGUGCAGUGGCGCCAUCACAGCUCAUUGCAGCCUCAACCUCCUGAGCUCAAGCCAUCCUCCCACCUCAGCCUCCCAAGUACCUGGGGUUACAGGCAAGCACCAUUACGCCUAGCUAAUUUUUCUGGGUUUUUUUUUUUUGUUUUUUUUUUUGUAUAGAUGGAUUUCGCCAUGUUGUCCAGGCUGGUCUUAAACUCUCGCUCUGUCUCCCAGGCUAGAGUGCAGUGGGGCAAUCUCGGCUCCCUGCAACCUCUGCCUCCUGGGUUCAAGCAAUUAUCCUGCCUCAGCCUACCAGUUAGCUGGGAUUACAUGUGUGCGCCACCGCGCCCGGCUAAUUUUUUUAUUUUUAGUAGAGGCGGGGUUUCACCAUGUUGACCAGGCUGGUCUCAAGACUACUGACCUCAAGUGAUCCCCCCCCCCCCCCGCCUCGGCCUCCCAAAGUGCUGGGAUUACAGACGUGAGCCACCGUGCCCAGCGGUUUUGCAUUUUCAAUUGUGGGGCACGGUGAGAAAAGACUUGAAGAAAGCAAGGGAGUGAGAUCCAUGGAAAUGUAGGGGGGAACCUUGCAGGCCUAUGGAACAGCCAGUGCAAAGGGCCUGGGGUGGGAGCUGCCUCAGGGUAGCCAGGAUGGCAGGAGGCACAGCUGCCGAGAGGAAGCAGGGGCCAGGUCCUGCAAGGUUAGAGGCCAUUGCUACUCCUGAACACAUUGGCAGGUUUUGAGCAGAGAAGUGACAUGAUUUUAGUUUUCUCAGGAUCCCUCUGGCUGCUGUGUGGAGGAAGAGGGGAGGGUGAGAGCAGGGAUACCUCUUAGGAGGCUGUGGUAGUAAUCCCAGGGAGCCAGGAUGGGAGCAGAGGAGGGGACAGGAAUUGGAUUCUGGAUGCAUUUUGGAGGGAGCAUGAAGGAAAGCGGGGUCAAAGGUUCCUCUGAGGCCUUGGCUGCCUCUCUUAUUCAUCUACAUCCAUUCUGUCAAGGACACCUUUCAUUUCUUCUUGGCACUGUCUCAAGGCCACCACGCUGCUGCCCACCUGACCAGCAGUGGCCUUUCCAGGCCUUCCAUCUUCUCCCCAGCAGCUUAUCUCUGCGUAGCCAGGUCCCAUUUCCCACACACCUUUUUUUAAAGUGUGUUGCACUGCUCUGGGUGCAGGACUGUAGCAGUGACCAGGGCAGCUCCAGAUGAAGCUUCUGCUCACAGGAACCUUUUCUACUGAAACAGAUGAUACCUAAACUCUCAGCUGUGUGACUUUAAGCAACUUGCACAACCUCUCUGUACUUCAGUUGCCUCCAUCUUCAAAUGGGGAUUAAAAAGUGUUGACAUCAUAGUGGUUGUGAGGAUUACAUGAUUUGAUAGUUUAUAAAGCACUUAGAACUUGUGAAGAAGAGUGCCUGGGGAUUGCCUAAGGUCAGGAGUUCAAGACCAGCCUGGCCAACAUGGAGAAACCUCAUCUCUGCUAAAAAUACAAAAACUAACCACGCAUGGUAGUGCACACCUCUAGUCCCAGCUACUUGGGGGGCUGAGGCAGGAGAAUCACUUGAACCUGGGAGGUGGAGAUUGCAGUGAGCCAAGAUUGCGCCACUGCACUCCAGCCUGGGCAACAGAGCAAGACUCGGUCUCCAAAGAAAAAAAAAGAACUGCCUGGCUACGGAAUAAGAACUACAUGGAGUUAUUAAAUCAAAAUCGGUGCACAAAUGAUAAUUCUUAAGAGUGAGUGCUACAGAGAACACAAAAGGCAAGGCACAGAGAGAUGACCUGGGAGGCAGGGAAGGAAAGCAUUCCCAGAGUUCUGGAGGCUGCAAGCCCAGGUUCAAGGCAUCAGCAGGUGUGGUUUCCUCCGAGGCCUCUCCCCGUGGCUUGCAGAUGGCUGCCUUCUUCCUGCAUCCUCACGUGGUCCCUCCUCUGCACUCCAGCAUCCUUAAUGUCUCUUUGUGUGUCCAACUUUCCGCCCCCCCCCACCCCUUUUUUUUCUGAUGGAGUCCACCCAGACUGGAGUACAGUGGCGUGAUCUCAGCUCACUG
This 2510-nucleotide long non-coding RNA is filed under the name Homo sapiens (human). RNAcentral describes it as "HSALNT0363164". The record is from RNAcentral. Lineage: Eukaryota; Metazoa; Chordata; Mammalia; Primates; Hominidae.